UAGCAAUGAUGAAUGAAUUUCUUCACCUGAAUCCUCUAUGUGGAUCAAACUUGAGCUUUUUAACCCUGAGCAGA
Small nucleolar RNA from Trematomus bernacchii (emerald rockcod), 74 nucleotides. NCBI's taxonomy places the organism in Eukaryota, Metazoa, Chordata, Actinopteri, Perciformes, Nototheniidae. The record is from RefSeq and is a predicted model, not a curated record.